ACACAUACAUACAUACAUACAUACAUACAUACAUACAUACAUACAUACAUACAUACAUACAUACAUGUAUGGGUGUAUAAUGACGACCUGAUCGUUAGACUGCAACCUGAUUGCUACCAUGGACAUCGGCCGCACACGGCCGCAGUUGCCAAACUAAUUGCCAACCUAUUCAUCUCAGAAAUGGUAGGAUAGAAAUGGCGAACGGAAUGGCUCAGAGGAAACGGCCGCGGACUACCGCGCCGAGGACGCUUGGAAAUGGCGGCACGAGAAAACCGACAGAGCUUCCAAACGCUGGCAGAGCAAACGCAGCUCCAAAGCGGAUUAACGCCUUUAACGUAGUAACGCUGGACGGCCACAAAUACAGCUCGGUGCUGGAGUUGGAAACCAUUGACCUCGUCGUCCAUUGGCCAGCGAGGUCCGACCGGAAUGACUUAAUGGCUCAGAUAUAUGGACCAUUAGGAACAGCUAUUCGGUCGACGCUGGGGCAGCAUUUCAGCUCUACCGAGUUCACAUGGUGGGGCGGCCCACGCAUUGAGAAGCGGCUCUUAUACGCAGCUGGGGCUGAGAACAACAUCGCGAUGGAAUUUUCCAUAAUGGUGCCAAAAGGUGGAUUAGCGCAUUUGUUCGAAGCCUACGGUGAACGCAUUCGCGUUAGUGGGGUGCAACUAUGCCCCAACGAGGACCCCAUCGAGGUGGAGCUGCAGAUCAAAAAUCUGCAUAAAGUCUUGCCGGUACAGUGGGAGAUUAAGGGAGUCCCCACCAAACUCAGCGUCCACGGGGUCGCUGAGUUCCUCGCCAGGGCAUACAGCACCAGCCAUCAGCCCCGCACAGCGACGGAAUUUAUCUACCUGAUCCCCACGGCCAUGGCCGACACCUGGCAGCUCACCCUGCCCCGGGAUCACCGGGGCUUGCCAUGUGAGAUGCCUUAUGAGUACUACGGGUGGUUGGGCGAGCAGCACCAGGUCGGCUGUUUAAAGGCCGCCAAGCUGUCACCCAACCUCGAGGUGAACCCCUACCUUAUGCCCCGCUGUCCACCACCCCGGGAGGAGCUUCGCAAGCAGCAGCGGAGGCAACGAGAGGCGGCGGGGCACCACACCCAGCAAACCCGCCCAGCAGACCCUUCACCGCCAAUGCCACCCAUGGCAGCAUUCAGCGGCCCCACCCGCCCGGCAACCUACCCUGGCCCCCCGGGACAGACCGUGGAGCCGCAGGUGUCAGGGUUAUACAGGGUCAUACAGGGUUAUACAGGGUCAUACAUACAUACAUACAUACAUACAUACAUACAUACAUACAUACAUACAUACAUACAUACAUACACACGCGCGUGACGGACUUGCGGAGCACCUGCACGGCCCAGAGGAAGUCCCGCCAGCCGCAACCCAGCUCCGCCAAAUCUGGCCGCAAUACCUGGGGAAACAACAAACAAACAGACAGACAGAUGGGCAGACGAAACAAACGGGUACGAAGGCAAAGAUACAUGGCAAAAGGUUUUAAAAUAAAACUGACGGAGGCAAGGCAGAUAUGCGAACGGCCCCGAAGGGUUUAGUUGCAGCACAGGCCGCAGCCAAGUAAAGGUAGCAGCAGCAGCUGCAGUAGCAGCGGUAGCAGCAGCAACAGCAGCUGCAGUAGCAGCAGCAACAGCAGCUGCAGUAGCAGCAGCAACAGCAGCUGCAGUAGCAGCUGCAACAGCAGCUGCAGUAGCAGCUGCAGUAGCAGCUGCAGUAGCAACAGCAACAGCAGCUGCAGUAGCAACAGCAACAGCAGCUGCAGUAGCAGCUGCAGUAGCAACAGCAACAGCAACAGCAGCUGCAGUAGCAGCAGCAACAGCAGCUGCAGUAGCAGCAGCAACAGCAGCUGCAGUAGCAGCAGCAACAGCAGCUGCAGUAGCAGCAGCAACAGCAGCUGCAGUAGCAGCAGCAACAGCAGCUGCAGUAGCAGCAGCAACAGCAGCUGCAGUAGCAACAGCAACAGCAGCUGCAGUAGCAGCAGCAACAGCAGCUGCAGUAGCAGCAGCAACAGCAGCUGCAGUAGCAGCAGCAACAGCAGCUGCAGUAGCAGCAGCAACAGCAGCUGCAGUAGCAGCAGCAACAGCAGCUGCAGUAGCAGCAGCAGCCAUAGUAGUCAAGCAGUGGUAAUCGGAACAAGGGCAGGCGCAUCAGUGCAUAUGACCCGCAACAUGGCCUUAGCAUCGCCGUCCCACUCCUUGUACACCUCGUUGUCCGUCUUUAAGCUCCUUCGUACAUGCCGCACAUCUUUAGCCGUUCCGCUGCUCGCUAUCCAGCAUGAAUCCAGAUUUUUUCGCACCGAUACAGCGUGUUCGUCACUCCAAGACCCCCACCAUGUAAGUCAGCUAAACUCAGCUAAAGGUGCGCGCCUAACUAGGCAAUACCACUUGUGCUGGUGGGGUCAAGAGACCCCGAUAGGGGGGAUAGCAAGCCAACAUUUCGGCUGUACGGCUAACAGAUGUACGGCAAGUACGAGAAGAUGCUAUCGAGGGCUCGAUAACGGGGGCCGAAUUUAUCUGACAUAGAUGAGUGAGGGUAAUGUUGAUGACAUAAAUAGAUGAUGAUGAUGAUGAUGAUGAUGAUCAACGAUAAUGGCAGUGGGCGGGCAGGAUAUCGGGGUCUCCACACAGUCCAGCAGCUCUCCUCGCACACCCCUAGCGAACACCAAGCGCCCACCUCGUAACAGUCUCGCACGCAUUGCUGCAUAACCCGGACCUCCUCCAUCACAUACGGACACCCCAGCUGUCGUAUCUCCUCGUCGUCGUACUCGAGCGGUGUCCGUACUGCGGUCGGCAGUGCCGCAAUCCAAGGUCCCCAGCCCGCCUCGCCCAACAACUCCGGCCCCGCGUCGGGUUCAUCCCUGCCUGCCGCGGCCGCCGUUUCCUUCGCUGCCGCUACUGCUACUGGUGCUACUGGUGCUGCUGCUGGGUUGACAUCACCGCCACAUUCGCCCUGUUGUUGGCUGGCUGAUUCACGCGAUGGACUGUUCAUCCGGAUAGGGGACGCCCCUGCUGCUGCGGCGGCGGCGGCUGCUGCCGGUGCUGAUAUCAUUGCCGGGCCUGACGCUGCCGUUGCCGCUACCGCCAAUGAAAGGUGCCGAGCUCGGAGCAGGCGAAGUGCCAUUUCAGCGGACCAAUGUAACUCCGAAUCCGACUGGCCAAAAGGUACGACAAGGAGCCAGGGAAGCGGAGGGAGCCGUGGGGGGCCGUACGGCCCGUACGGCCAGGUAAACCGGAUUGGCGUGUGAAGGCGGUGCACGAGACAGGGGGAAGUGGACCGGAUGUGAUGGACGAGCACACUACUACGUUGUGUACGGACUGUUGGACUAACAGUAGUAAUAGUAGUAGUAGCAAUGCGUUGCGAUGUACGGUUUGUGUUCAUGAGGUAUUGUGUUCCCUGGCAUCCGAUUUGGAUCCAACCUGGAUCCGGCUUUGGAUCGACUCCAUGCAGUCCACACAUGGCGGCUUACCAGAGCGCCUCAAGACACAGCGCCAUGGCACCCUCGGGCCGCAGCACCGAGGCCCAUGAGGAGGUCGUCGUCACACCUUUGCUGGUCGCGGCAAUGCGGGGCUGAGGUAAACGGUGGUUCCUGGGCGAGCCGGCGCUAGGUGUGGCCGAGUACUUGGUUAGGCGCGUGUGCGGUAGAAUCUUUUGUAGGCCCUAUCUUAUCUUAUCUUAGCUGCAAGUUGAGGUCGCCACGGGACGGCACGAGACCAAAACACACACGGACGCACCUGGCUGGUGAAGACGCGUGUGAGAGGCACGCUGAGCAGCGUUUCCCCGGGCGCCAGGUCGGCUGCUGCUAUCAGCCCUCGGCCGCGGCCGGGACCUAAGUCCCGUACUACUACACGCAGUCCAAGCCUUUUCUCACGACCAGCGGCGGCGGCGGUGGCGGCGGCAGCGAUGGGUUUGGUUGUGUCGUCAUCGCCGUCGCCAUCGUCGUAUUGGGGCCCGGGCCAGCCGCUACAGGCCCAGUGCAGGAGUGCCGCCGCGGGUGCUGCCGCUGGGGUGUUGUUGCUGCUGCUGCUGCUGCUGCCUCUAAGAAAUAGAGAAGUUGGGGAUUUGGAUAGCAGAAAAGGUAGCCGGGGUUGAGGUAAGAUGGGCCCACCGUAUGCGGGCACCAAGUCGCACGCAUUGGAGGAUUACAAGGGUGGGAGCAAAGCGAUGUUGAUUUUGUGAAUGAGCGUGUGGAUGAGCGUGUGGAUUGCUAGAGCUUGCCUGGGGGAGGCGACGGCAUCGGCUCUGGCUGCGCGUGGGUGAACCGUGGGCGCUCGCGCUUGGAUUCGCCAGGAGGGCACGGGGAUAAGGCGGCAAUUGCAUGUCCCAAUGAACAGUCGCCGCCUGUAUAAUGAAUGAAACUCGUUAAUCAUGCUGAAGGCCCAGUCUCCAGUACCUUAACCCGUCGCCUAAACUUGCUGAACCCAGCCCCUGGGAAAGCGUAGCUGCUGGUGAGUACUCUGCAUAUUUUCCCGUCGUAAAUUCAGCCCUGGACAAACAAGAGGUUGAGAUGUCGGGGACUCGUAGGUGAAUUGGGCGAAUGCCGUACUGUGUGGGGCCGAUAUUGGACUUUGGAGCUCCGUAACUGCAGCAUUUUGUGCAUUCCAUGUGGGAUUCUUGAAUUUCCCUUUGGAAUUGUUCACAUUCUGCUCAAAGUUGAUUUCACAGAUAGGCAGAUUUGCAAGGAGCAGGCUUAAAUCCUUACAUGGUUUUCUGCCAUCAGGUCAGACGGCAGAAGUCAGACCUUUAUUUCAACACAGCGAGUGACAAAAGUAAACGAGAUCUCCGCGCUGGUAACGAGCUCGCAGGAAACGCGCAAUUGCUGACUACGGUGGCCUAUGAGCGCAUCGGAAAGGUUUCACUUCGCUCGUAUGCAGUUGGGAAUUAUCAAAUGUUACGCGAUGCACAGCAAGCACGUAGGCAGGUUCAAGGACGCAAACCGACAUUGUGCCAGCGUGAUGAGAACAGCUAAGCCCGGCGCAAUACCUUCCACAGCCGAGCCACAGGUAGCAAUGCCCACUGCGGAGAGAAUUAUGCCACUGAAGAUCGACGUAAUUACAGAGCCCAUACAUGGCACAGCCGUCAGCCCCGUGCGCAGGGCCAUGGAUGCGAACAUGUGGUUUACAUGUGGUUGUCGCAAGCCGCCUGAGUCUUGCCACAAGCGACAUUAAUGCCGCUUGAUGGAAAGCUAGCUGGCCCACCAUUCUGGGCCGACACCGUGUAUGACGGCUCUCCAACGUACUCCUUCCCGCCGCAGCCCAAGCGCACACCACACCUGCCCCUCUCCCGUACAACUUCUUGGCUAAUGACUGGUUCCCCGUGUGAGCACGCACAGCCAUUGCUGUCCAGGCAUUUUGAGCAGUCAAGGCCGUAUGCGUCGUACCAAGGGCACUUAGGGUUGGAGGAGAUGCAAGACGCCGGCCUUGAGCAGAUUGAAUCGACGCCCCGUCAUUCGAAAAAACGAAUAUCAGCAUUGCUGUACGUUGUGCAUGCGCGUACACGGCAGGCAGUUGAGCAGGUACGCAGGUAGGCACGCGGCAAGGUAGGCCAGCAGGAAGCUAUGCAAGCACGGAAGCAGAGGCAAACCUCAAGGAUGUGUGUGUGAAGCCUGGUAAAUGACACUUGGGUAAAAAGUAUACAACACAUGUCCCAUCACAUGUAGCAUUGCUGUUACAUACCCUAUUGUGUCUCGCCUCUUACUUGCGCAAUCGGAUCAACCAACACAUAUAUUGAUCCGUCAGGAAGGCUUUAAAAUCGCGAACGACAGGAAAUGUACGCAUGCUUGCGUAAAUCACCCUUGCAUCGUGUCGUACCGUAUGAAUGGAUGGCCACUUUUCCCAGCAUACGGGUCCCACACCGUUGUUGUAUCCAUUCUUGCAGCGAGCCUAGCACAGCGCAACCUCCCAUCUGCACACGACUCGGAACGGUCCCUACACCGCGGCCAUAAUUCCUGAGGAAGCAAGCCUUAAGACCUACAGAUAAUGGUACCAUCCGGAUGGAAUGUGAUUCUCCUGGAAGCGGGAUUAGAAGCAGAGCUCGGUCAGUAGCAGGUCUCCGCAUUGAGUGAAGAGAUCAGUGAUGAAUGUUUCUAGUGGCUGCUGCUGCUGCUGCUACUGUUGUCGCAAGCCUGCUGUUGUUACUGCCGUUGCUGUAUGUACUGCGGGUAGUGCAGUACAUACAGACUGCGGCAUUGCGAUCGCUCGUCAGUCGUCGUCACCCGUUCGACGCCCGCCGACAUCCAGGGGAUGUGUGCAGCCGUAGACGACGCGCUCAACAGCGUAGGUGUACUUAACUAACAAUCUAGGAUUUGGAGCAGGCGGCCGGUUUUGGGGUUUGUGUCUGGAACUUCCAGAGGGUUUUCAAAGGCUGCAAGACGUCCGGCGGGAGUCUGGCAGACAUUAACCCGCCUUACAUUGAUCCCUUUGCUAUGGUUCUCUCCACCGCAUGAAAUACAUCAUCGAAAUCGCGCACAUCUAUCCUUUGAAGAAUCAGCAACUAAUUUUGCAAGUUAAGUCUCCUUAGAGCUCCUGCUGAGAGCAUAGCAAAUUAUUCCGCCUAAUUAAGUGCAACAAAUCGUGCUCAGGUUGCUUCGCUAAACGUGCAUCACGCAACGGCACCAGGAUUUAUACAACAGCCUGGCCUAUAAUCUCCUAUAAUUGCUUGCUAGGGUUGGCCAGCAGGAGUCGCUAGGGCAAGCUUGCAGGAAAGUCCUUGCUUUGACGCGAAAAAAGGUCCCUUGCAUUGCUUUCAAAGAAAUUGUAAUGAUCGCAGACGGGAGAAAGAACGCCAGCUGCGUAAAUUUGUAAGUGCACACGCAUGCACCAAGCGAUGGUGGAAACGUCGGAGCAGUUGCAGCAGCCCAAACUACGGAAGCCUGAUGAAACACAUAAUAAUUUUUUUCAUUUAUGAUAAAUUCUGAUAUUUAAUGAACGGAGCGUUGUCGUGUGAGCUAUGACACACCGCUCGCUUGAGGUAGGACAGCGCUAGCUAAACAGUCAGAGAUGCGACACAUCAGCUUGUCUUGCAGGGCAUUCUUGAUAAGCUGUACUUUUACAUAAGAGACAAUUUCAGGCGCGAGCAGUUCCUUGAACGUGAACAUUACAGCUUACCGCAGCAAACGAGCAUAUACUGCAGCAUGGUAAAUAUCUCAAACUGGCAAGAGGAGCUGCGAGUUCCCAACCAUUACCACUCUAUGCCUCUCUUAGAACCAAGUGGCUGCGCUUUCCCUCGGUAGGUCAUAACGACUAUACUAAAGCUAGAUAGUACACAACUGCACACUGGCUUUGAGCGCUGAGAAAGUCGAGACGAAGCAAGAGUGGACCGUAGUGCACAGAAACGGAUUAACCUCGUGCUGCCGCGACCACGUGGUCGCGUACAAGUCAGUGGUGCACCACUGACUUGUACCGGGCACCUGUCACCGGUACCGGAUACCUGGGUACAUGGGGACCGGAGCACCUGUUCCGCAGGAAUACCAAUCAAUCAGGACCUCUUCCGGAACGCAGGGAAAUGCAGUAUUAAGAAGUACAAUACAGUACAUCGUGCGCCUUGCAUGUUUUGCCCAGCACCCAACGCCAACCACGAAGCACCUGGGGCGACCGUUUCAAAACUGGUAGGAGGCUGGUAUCACAAAAAUGUACUGGUGUUAUCACUUGUCGUUAGUUGUUCACGGUUGUUCCUUGCGCUGUUCGAUCCGCCGCUGCGCAGAGCUAAGUGCCUCAUUCCGAACAUUCCGGACGAUCUGACAAGCGAGGCAGGCUUGGAUCUAAUCCGAUUUCCUACUUUAGUUGCUGAAAGCGUGUCAGAUCAAAUGUCUGUCAUCCGCCUUCGUUUAGCAGCGCUCGCCGUUCUUGCACUUGCCGGCAGUUCUGCUGUUGCCGUGGCCGACGCUGCACCAUCAGGCCAGUCACUGCCGCCGCCGCAGCUUGCCAAAAGCCCGAAUCCACAAGCUCGCAAGCCGCCCCUACGCCUUCGUUCCAGCCCGCCGCCGCCGCCGCCGCCGGCCCCCCGUCCUCCUUCCCCUCCGAAACCCAGCCCAUCCCAACGGCGGCCUCCGCGUAUCCGGCCCUCUAGCCCGCCAGCUCCACCACCUCCAAGUCCACGGACGCCGGCGCCAGGUACGGGUCUACCGUCCCGGCGUUGAGUCAGCUUGAAUCAUCCGGUGCGGAAAGGUUUAAAUAAACGAGCCCUUAUAGUACACCAGAUUACCCAGUUGCAAGGCCACCGCCGACCAACGUGGAAAUUAAACAGGACUGUACCCUGUCACAUACUCUUGGUUGUCGGGCAAUUAUUAUCCAUCGCCUUACGGUUCUGGAGCUAGCCGGCGUCCUGCUGAAAAGUAGUGUAAAUUUCCGUCCCUGCAGGGGCCCACUUGCUUCCCUAGGUCAGGUAGCAGGUGCUUACACAUGCGGUGUGCACGCACAUACAUACACGCAUCAUACAUACACACGCACACACACUGCGGGAAAAUCGAAAAACAUUCCCGGAGUGGUAUCGCACGUCGGUUUACCACUGCUCGUUCUUCCCACCUGUAGAUGUGGCCUGCUUGCGCAAGGGAUACAGCCGAAGCGAUGGCCCAAUGUGGUCGACUCCUUGCCCGCCCGGUUUCGAAAGCUACGGCCCGUUCUGCGUCCCCAAGUGCGCUGAUGGGUACACGGCAGCCGGGCCCAUGUGCUGGGACAGCGGUGUCCCGGCCGGUUAUCCCGUCCAGUGCAACACCGCCUCCUGGGGCCGGACUCAGGAGGAAUGCGAUGAGGUUGUAAGGGUGUUCGCGGCCGUGUCCAACAAGAUACAGCUGAGCAAUGAAGCGUGUGUGGGUGCCUUGAUUUCCAGGUCCCUAGGUUCCAACGGCGGGAUGUCGUCGUACCUGCUUGUGUCCAUGUGCCCUCCAUACAUUGUUGCAUUACCGUCGGAGGGGAUUUCCGCGGUCAUUACGUUGACCGCGUUCUCAGUAUGCCCUUAGUAAUUUAUCCAUUCACCUGAUGGUGGCGAAAUAAUGCGGCUAGGUGUCGGUUGGUCGCUUGAUUGGUUGGUCGGGUUCUGUCCACGAAGCGGCCGUAAUCCGCUGUGAGCCUCUUCUGGAUCAUCACCGUCGAUAUCAUGUGUAAUUCCUUUUCUACAGUAAAUUAGCCGCUGGGAGGCGGCACGCUGUCAAAUUGGCGGCAGCCCACCCUUCGAGCUAGGCCCUGAUCCGUACCGCCGAUAUACAACCCCACAACCGCGUGCCCGCUUACUGAGAGACUACUGUUCCCAGGCAUGAAAAUCAUGAUUCCAAAAGCGCGAAGCCAGUCCCCGAACGCUGCCGCAGAUCAUGUACGGAGGCUCUACCUGAAUCGGUUCUGGACCAUGAUGAAACCUGCCGCUGCCUCUGCUUGUUAGCAUGGAUAGGGGUUAUGUGACGAAGAUCAAAGAACACAGUAGGCUGGAUUUGGCUGAAGUGACGACAGAAUUAAACCAAAACGGAAUUGGACGAGUGCCGUAUGGGCUCCAAACUUUGUCUUUGCUGUCUCUGAAUAUAGCAUUUUUUAGACCUGCACUUAUGUAACGAUCUCGCAUUCUUCUGUGCUUUACUUUAAUAAUUUGGCGGCCUCCGUUAACCGGGGGUGGCGCUGGUGUGCAAGCUGCUUGGCACGAUCUCAUAUUUACUAGAGCUCAUUAGUCCUAAAUACAGUAUCUGACAUUGAACCCAACCAUCUGGGAAAUUUGCGGACUAAAGUGCAGGGGGCCCAUCCCGGCGCCAUGACAUCCAAUUUGACGGGACACGAUGGGGAAGGCCGGGUGAGUUCUACAUCGGCGUAAUAGCUGUGAUCUGGAGUAUACCUUGGGUAAAAGCGAUACGUGUCCCCGGCAUGUACGUUCGCGUUCGUCAUGUGCCUCCCCAGAUGCUGGACUCAUAAGUGAGAGGGCGCAUGAGCGCCCACUUGUCUGGUGCUCAACCUUAAGAUAUCUCACCUGUGUUAUGUUGAGCCCCAUCGUGAUUUAACUCGGGCGUGUAGCCUUGCACAAUUUUGCCACACUGUCCGUGUCUCUGUCCCGGAACCGUACCUGCACGAACUCGCUAUAUCCUAGCAGGACACAAUGAGCCGCAUGCAUAUCCGCUGCGUGUUUGAAAGCCUUUUUCCGUGCCCGCAUAACUGGACAGGAGUUUGCAUCUCCUGACGAGCUAUGGGCGGUAGAGGCGGACGAGGACGGGGGACACAAUAGCUGGUACGGAUGUUGUGUACGCUAAUGUCCUGGGAUUCCGCAGAUUUGUAUCCAGCAAGCGGCCUCAACGUUGUGUGUCUAUUGCGAUGGACUCUGAAGACCCAGCUAGCUUUGCUGACGUACAGAUAGGCAGGCGGGGCGAACAGACAGAGACGUACACAAGGAUACCGCCCCCUGGCAAGCCUCUUACUGUAGACAUUCCAUUAAGUACUAGAAGGGUGCAAUCCAACCUCGAUCUCGUUCGUAAACUGCAUCCAUGGUUUUGUUGCGGGGCGACCUGCCGUACGCCUCUCCCAGGUACCAGAAAGCUGUGUCGUACUGGGACCAGCAAGAAGCGUCGUACAACGGUGUCUUGGGCGGCUUUGGAUACACGUCGGACCUGGAUGUACGGGAUAGCCGGGCGCUAUUGCUGAAGGUGUGCGGGGGAGGUUGGGGUCAGACGGCUCUUUGGCGCCCAUAACAUCCACGCGUCGUAUUCACUGCUUGCACGCCUGUCUGUAUGUCUAUACCGCCUCAUCUCUCUGUCAACCAACCUCUCCCACCAGGCCAUGAGGGUCCAAUUGGAGGCUGCAGACAAGGGGACGAGAACGCUGACAGCGCUUGGUAAGAGAAUGAGCGAGGGGAGGGGCCAUAUGGAGGGAUGUGGGGAGGAGGAGCAAAUGGUAGGAAAAAGCAAACGCAAAGAGAGGCCGUGCAGCGUCAGUAAAAGGGAGCCCAGCUGUCCCUUUUGCUGGCUUAGGGGGAAAGCCCUUCCCCCCGUCCCCCUUGCUACGCUCGGCUGUGACCGUUGUCUUGUCUUCCUCCUUCCUCCUCACCUCCUCACCUCCUCCCGGGGUUCGCCCCUUACCCGCCCAGACUGCGGUGCCGGUGUGGGUAGAGUGACGGAGCAGCUGCUGCGACAUCACUUCCACUGUGUUGACCUGUUGGAACCUAGCAGGCACCUGCUCGAUACCGCAGGUGGGUGCGGAUGUGGGCUUGCGGAUAUGGGCUUACGGCAUUGACCUUGUUGUCUCAUCUGUUUGCUCCCCGUUGGCCUUCGUUCUUGUUCGUGGCCCUCAGCUAAGAACUUGUCGGCGCGGACGGUGCCUCAGCCGCGUGGGAAAGCGGGGCAGUUCUUUUGCUCCGGCCUGCAGGUACGGAGGUACACCCGCCCAUUUUGCGCUUUGCGCGGUGUGUGUGUGUGCGUGUGUGUGCUCGCUAGGUCUGUAUGUAAAAGGUCAUGUUGCAUUUUUAAAUAUUUGUCUCUGCUUUGCGAGUUGCAACCUGUUAUUACACAGCAGUGUGUGACGCAGAUUGCAACCUGUGGUGUGACUCGCCGCAGGAGCACACGUUCGAGCCCGGCAGGUGAGAGGAUGAGGGUGCUGUGCGGUGGGGGGUUACCAGGGGAAAUGGUUGUGGUCGGUCGCGGCUUUACGUCCUGGCCGGAGCCCGGGGAUCCUUUCCUUUUGUAAUAUGUGUAUCGGCUGAGGGACCAGGGCAGGCAGGGCACGACAACCUGGAUGAGUCCUCGCGCCUUUCUUUACCCUUUCUUCUCGUCCUAAGACCGCGUAUCUGUUGUCAAGUGUUCGUACAUGGUCCCUGUCGAUCCAGGUACGACGCGAUUUGGAUCCAGUGGUGUCUGCUGUACCUGACGGAUGGUAGGUAAGAGGAAUCCAGGGAGGAAGACUGGGAAGCUGACGACCGCCGUUUCUUUCCCAUCCUUCCUGCCGUUCUUUCCGCAUCUAUCUACAGGUUCCCCGCCUGUAUGAAGCCCUGUCGUGUUCUGUUCUGUUCUGCGCUCUGCUGUAGUUGACUUCGUGUCGCUGUUCCAACGUGCCGUUGCUGGGUUGAAGCCCGAUGGUCUUAUCUUCGUCAAGGAGAACAUCUGCAAGUGAGGAGGGCGGGCAGUGGGUGGGCAGCUGCUGUGGGAACUGCUCCUAGCGCUUCUAGGUCAUCCUUUCAGUUGGCCUCAGUUGGCGGUGUGGGUUGCCUUUGCGCUUUGCCUCGCUGCCCGUUAUCAAAGGGCGGAUGGGGCCGAGCGGCCGCUGCCGUGGCGAUGAAACUCCUGAAAUUGAAGGAGGGCGGCAGGUUCGGGGCCCGCAUGUCACGGCAUGGGCCCGCAUCGCGGUGAAAAAGCGGGUUGGCUCCCCGGUGUGCUAGUGAUGUGUUUUCCACGCGGUGCGUGGCAGGCACGUAGACAUGUGCUUGUGCUUCGAGCAAGCGUGGUUCUGCUGCUGUGGGUCCGGUGUCUUCUGUCCCUAAGUGGCGCUGGGGUUCUUUGAAGUCCACACCCUGCCCUGCCCUUCGGGUGUUUCCGUCCUGUGAUUGCCGCUAACGGUUAUCGACGUGUGGAUGCUGCAACUGGUUUAGCUCCACGCGCUGGAAAGCCCGUUAAGCAACGAGACAUGCGCUGAACUUGGAAGGCGCGACCACGCUCCGUAUUGCGUUGACUCUUAAUCCUUGUAGCUGACUUAGAACUAAUAACUCAAGCUGAUUUGUGCGCAAGCAAUCACCCAUUGGAAAAGUGGACGGAGUCGGCAUCUUUUGAAACUGAGUUCGCUAACUAGGCUCGCACCGCGACAAAACCUAUUGCGAUAUUCAGGAACAAAGCAGAGAAAUGGUAUGGAAGCUGAGAUGAACGCGAUGAGGCAGUCUUCGGCAUAAUGUAUGUUGCAUCAGUUGCAUGCCGCGACCCCAUUAUGCCAGAGCUUGAGAUCCCAUGUCCUCAUGGGGACUAAUAAAAAGAAAAUUUGUCAGUGUAUGUCGGUUUCCGCAUGCGGGGAACAGGGCUGCGCCUUUCCGCAAGCUUCAGGGAAUCAAACCCCUUUGCGCUCCUACUGUGACAGGGAGGGCUUUGUCCUAGACAAGGAGGACUCGUCCUUGACUCGCAGCAACGCCUUCAUGCUCGAACUCUUUCAGCGGGCAGGUGUGCAGGUGGGUCGAGCUGCAAAUACCGCUCUGCAUCACCGCAUUGCCUUAGGCAUCUUGUCUGAGAGGAUAUGUUCCUCCAGUGGGUGUGGGAGACCGCCGGAUUGUCCGUACGGGAGAGACCGCCGGGCGAGUCGGUAUAAUUGCGGCUGUGCCCGGCUGCCAACUGCCGGCUGUUCUGUUACGCCGUGCAGGUGCUGUACAACGUAAAGCAACGCAACUGGCCCAAAGAGCUUUUUGAAGUGCGUAUGUACGUUGUCAAACCUCGGACGGCGCAGCAAAAUCAGCAGAAUGAACGACAUCAAGAGCAAUAACAAGAGCAGGGUGCACACGAUGGAAUGACCGACCACCACCAGUGCAAUGGAAAGGUGUCACAGGGGGUUGGGGGUGCGAUGAUUGGGGGGCCAAUGGUGACAUAAGGAGGGGUUCCCGACGAUUUCCAGCAGAUGAGGACGGUCAGUGCUGUCGUUAGGCUGCGUGUGACCACAAAAACACAGGCAUGAGUAAUGGGCAAUAUGCACGCCGGCGAAACCUGUGCCCCCGGGUGAUGAAGGUGAUAUUCGAAUGUUGGACUAGAGUUUGGUGCAGGGUGAAACAGCGAGUGUGCAUGCGGAUGGCGUUGCCAGGGGGGACGAAUUCGCACAAGGCAGGUGGUGUUGAAAAACACCGGUUAGAUACCAACGGGUAUCGAGGGGAAAACAUAGACUGCAGUCAAGAGUCAGCUGGGACCUUAAGCCUUCUUGGCGGCCUUGGCCUUCGGCUUAGCGGCAGCCUUCGGCUUGGCAGCGGCCUUCGGCUUAGCGGCAGCCUUGGCCUUCUUGGGCGUCGCAGCCUUGGCCUUCUUGGGGGUGGCGGCCUUGGCCUUCUUCGGCGCAGCAGCCUUCUUGGGGGCAGCAGCCUUCUUGGGGGUGGCCUUCUUAGCAGCUGGCUUCUUCGCCGCGGGCUUCUUGGCGGCCGGCUUCUUUGCUGCCUUGGGCUUCUUCGCGGCCUUAGGUUUUUUCUCGGUCUUCGGCUUAGCUGCCUUCUUCUCCGACUUGGGCUUGACGGCCUUCUUCUCGCCCUCCUUCUUGGGGGCCUGCAAGAGGAUUAGGUAAUGGAGAUGAGCGUUCGGAACUGGAAAAUCUACGGAACGACGCUAGCGGAAACCAAGCUCGCAAUUCGCGAACCGCGGAAUAGAACAGCAAAUCCGCUCACCUUCGCCUUCUUCGGCGCAGCUGCCUUCUUGGGUGCAGCGGCCUUCUUAGGGGCAGCCUUGGGUUUAGCCGCGGCCUUUGCCUUGCUCUUCUGGGCCUGUACCAGCCACGUAAAAAAAAGUCUUAGACAUAAAGUAAAUUGUAAACUUAUUGGUCAAACUCAAGAACAGGAGCACCGUCUGCCACCUACGUCAGAGAGCUUGUAGCUGUUCUUGACCUUCACGAGCUUGCCGUUCUUGACGAACGUCUUCAGCGCCAGAGACAGCGUCUUCGGGAACUUCUUGUCGUGAAUGUCCUGCAGGAAGUUUCGGCGACAAGGGUCAGCGCCCGCCAGGAACGUAGCAUCGGUAGGUCCUGAAGGUCUACUUCCAGGCGCCAUUAAACAGACGUCAUCCGCAAGCUCGGAGAUAACCAACUACAAGCACAGUCCUAAUUUCUACUGCACAAUAUUCACAUUUUGCGACGCAUACCUUCCCGUAUUUCGCCUCAAUGAACUUCUUGAGGGCCGGAAGGGAGGACCCGUCGCGCUCCUUAAGGCUGAGGAUGGCGUCCGUAACCAUCUGAAUGUAUGGUGGGUGGGUAGGAGCCGUCUUGGGCUUCUUCUGAGUCUUGGCCUUAGGGGCCUUAACUUCAGGAGCGUCGCUUGCCAUGGUCAAGGAAGUGGAAAAGAUACUGAGAGUGGAAGUUGCCGAAAGAGUUGUAGAGGAGUUUAAUUACAAUAGUCACAAUAGUGUUAGUAGUGGCUGGAGGUUGGCGUUUUAUGUGUGUUGACUUGACAAAGUGACCGUUGGUGGCCCGGUGACCCGCUGACCCGCUGUACGAGUCCGUUGGGACGAUACACCGUCGCCCCGUCGAAUCGCCGUCGACCGUGCGGUCGUGCAAGCUGCCACGCGCCGUAUCAGUUACCACACCCCUUAACCAAACAAGCCCUGAAUGACCUGUUGCCUGUCUUUCAUUGUCGCCUGACGGCGUGCCGCCAACGUGACCGUUCGAAAGCCUCCAGCUAGGAAAAAAUUAUAUUCCGAAAGCAAAACCGUUUUCCAACGCCACAAUAUUACAAAGUACUGUUAAAAAUUAAAAAACGAGUCGCAUUUAUUUGCAACAGUCUCCUGCCUGCGCUCGUAAAGCGGCGCCUCGCGGGUGGGUCAAAAGCACAGUCCUGUCCCAGAAGAAGAAUUGAAACAAGUAGCCCAACAAACAAGCAGAUAAUUCGAAACUACUUAUCAUUUGUUCGCUUAGCUUUAAAGCUAAUCGCUGUUUCGUGGGUUCCCUCGGCGCGCUGUUUCACGGACGCCGACCCCACCGCCGCGGCCGCGCCUCUCCUCGCGGCUGCGCCAUGCGUUACCUCCACGAGCUCCCGCAGCACAUCCUCCUUCUCACCGUGCUUAGCUUGCAAUGCAACCUGCAGCUGCCAUGCGCGCUGUUGCAGCGCCUCAUACUGCGCGUUAACCUCGGCCGCCUCGGCCAUCGCCUCAGCCGCUUUCUUCCGCAUAUUCUCCGCCUCAAACUGCGCCUGACGCAACCGCUCUUCCAUCGACUCGUCAUGGCGAAUCAUGUCGGCGUACUUGGCCUGCGGGGUGCACAGCGGGGGGACAAUAAAACACACACGCAUAUUAUAUGGCAUUUUCCACUACUGAAGUCACAUGGCUCUGGAUCCAGGUAUGUGCUCACGUACAGACCGACAGACGUACAUUCCGGCAUGUGUGUUUCCCGCCAUCCCGCCCUCGCCAGUCAGCACGUCACCGGCAAUCAAGACAUGGGCCCCACCUCUCCAGGGAUUGCACGCGGCCCCAGCCAUUAUUAUUGCAUUGCGUAGAACAAAGCAUUUCCGGUGUUCGAAGCACUUGCGGCGUCCCCGCCACCCUUUCCACAGCCGGGUACGGUGCCCCCCAACUCCCUUGGCAGCAGGUGGGGGUCGUCGACCUGAGCCUGCCCGUCCAUCUCCCCCUCUACCCUCCCGGCGCCCCCCCUGUGUCCCGUAUACCACCCCCCGCCGUGCUCCCCCGACUCCUCCCUCCUUACCCUCACACACACCGGCAGUUCACUUCCCACUUCCUCGCAUAUGGUGCCCCUCACCCUCACCCUCACCCUCACCCUCAUCCCACCACAGCACACAAUCAAAAGCAGCAGUGUCACGCAAUUGUAUCGCAGGAAAACACGGCCAUGAACACAAACACGAUGCGGUAGGGUAGUGUGGCCAAAUUAGGAUAUACGGCAGCGAAGCAAGAGCGUUGCAAAGUCAUGGGGCAACGUGUUGUUGCUGGAGUUUUCUCCUGUUUAUAAUAACCGCCAGAUAUUGCCUUUCUCCGCAUUUUGAUUUUUCGUCCGCAUUGGCGGACGAGGUGCGUCUGCAAGGAUGGGUCAUCUCUCCACUCUCGAAGACCUCCCUCAGCGUCGGAGCUCCUGUCCGCGACCCGGCUUGACACCUCUCUCCGGCUAGUAGUGGCCCAAAACGGACCAUAACAUACACACAUACAGACUCAAAGCCGCACAUGCAGAUUUCCACAAGAUAUAUACACACAUACAUACACACACACCUGCACAACCUCUCUUUUCCCUCAGCUAGGCACCGAUGCGCGCGGAACCCACAAACUCACUCUUCUCGUCCCCCUCCUUCGCCGGAUGCACAGACAGACGGACAGACGGACUCAAACGUUUUAGUCGAUGGCAGCCAGUUUCCCCCAUAACCCCCUUGCAGACACAGGUACACAGACCCAUCACAGAGGCACACAAAUCAUGAAUACACGCACACUACGCACGCACAUACAUACAAACACACAAACACACAUGGAGAAAUAGUACCGACCUGCGAUUCCAGCAUCUCCUGCUCCACCGUCACAGCCCGUUCACGUGCCGCCUCCGCCACCGCUAGGGCUGCCUCCGCAUCCCCGCGCAGCCGCAUCGCCUCACGCCGCUCUGCCGCGACCUCUGCCUGCAGCUCCUCGCAGCGCAGCGCCGCAGCCUCCGCCGCCGCUGCAGCCGCCUCGGCGCGCACACGUGCCUCCCGCGCGGCGUCCUGGUCCCGCAACCCUUCCGCCUCCAAAUCGUCGCAGCGGCGCUUCAGCUCCGAAAUCUUCUGCGUCGCCGCUGCAGCCUGGGCCUCGUAAUGGCGCCGCUGGCUGUGUGCGGACGCCAGGUCGGUUUCCAGCUCAGCAGCUCGUUUCUGCGACCUGUACGCGACGAGGGCAAUGAAGAGGCAAGGCAAUAGGAGCAAGAGGCAAGAGGCAAGAGGCAAGCAAGGAAUAAGCGCAGGGGAUGGCAUGCGCGCCUGGUCAGGCAGGAAGGAAGGCUGGAGGUUGUAGAGAAAAGAAAGAGAGCAGAGAAGGAGAAGAGCCUCCAAAGCUCCAUUCCGUCUUCCCCAGCAGCUCUGCUCCUUUUCCCCCUGCAGAGAAAAGACCCCUUCAGGUUGCUUUGCAGGUCUUGCUCUUCCUACGAUAAUUCCUAGCUCCAUUCCAGCCUUCACAUCUGCCUUACCUCUCCGCUUUCCGUUUGGCUGUCUCCGCCACCAAUCUCGCCUCCUGGAGUUGCUCCACAGCGGUAUCCAAAUCCCGCCGCAGCGCCAUCAGAGCCGCCUCCGCCGCCACCGCGCGCCGGCCGUCGCGCACCGCAGCUGCCGCCGCCGCCGUAGCCGCUUUAGCUGCAGCGGUCGCCGCCAUGCGCUGCUCCGCCGCCUCCCGCGCCGCCGCCUCUCCCGCCGUCCGUACCUCCGACAUGGCUGCCCUGACUGCCACCAGCUCCUUAUCAUCCCGAGCCAGCUGGGCCUUAAGCACCGCCAGGCUCUGAAUGGGCUCCUGUGGGGCCAGCGAAAAGUCGGGAAAGAAUAUAGAUGAAAGCGCGGCAGUACAUGUGGAGGCAUGUUUAAUGGGCCCGCCCUCCGCCCCUCCGCCUCUCCGCCCUCUUCCUCACUCGCCUGUCCACCCUUGGACAGAGUCGACAAUAGCUGCGUCACCAGACCCUCUAGAGCACCCAGCAGCGCCGGCGUCGCAUCCCCAGCCGCCUCCGCCGCCACCGCCUCCGCCGCGUCCAACGCGCCGUCCACUUUAUCCAGCAGCGCGGCCAGCACACGCUCCAGAGACCCCUCCACCAGCCCAAACCAAUGCACGUGGUUCCCGCUGCUGCUGCCGCUGCCAGCAGCGGCAGCAGCGGCGGUGCCGCUGUCCGUAAUCGGCAGGGGCGGCGGCGGCGCAGCCGCAGCAACCGCGGCAGCAUCCUCAAGCAGCGCGAUUCGUCGUCCAAUAGCAUCGGCUGCUUUGUCCAUAGCUUGUAGCAGCGGUUGUGUGGCGGCUAUGUGGGCUCGUAAGCGGUCUCGUUCCGCAGUGAGGGGUACGAGGCGCGCCUCUGCGGCGGAGGCGGCGGUCUGGGCCUCGUCCAGCGCCUGGGAGACCUCCGCCAGCCUUACGGAUGCAUUCGGGUGUGUGUGUGUGACGACCGACCCAUGGGUCAAGAGUGCAGGGAAGCUCGGGGCGAUUUUUGGGUUAACGCACACACAAAGACAACAAUACAAGAGUUCGUCCAAAACAUGAAGAUAAGGACCAAGGUUUGGUUGAGAGGGAGGGAGAGAUGGGUCUUUGGGAGGAGAGGAAAAGGAAAAGAAAGCCGCGAACCGAAGCAGGGGGAGACAAAAGCUCAUGAAGCACCGCACGUUUCGCCACAAGUUAACAACGCACACACGCAGCACAUCCGACAUGACACGUCCGCCGCCACGCACCUGCUCUCCAGUACCGCCACGCGCUCGCCUCGCGCCGCGGCCUCCGCCUCCGCCGCACCCGCCUGGCGAAUGGCGGCAUCCAGCUGGGCGGCAGUGGCUCCGUGCGCCUCCGCCACCGCCAUCCGGGCAGCUCUCCGCUCCUCCACCAGCUCCCCACUGAGCGCUUUGACGCGGGACUCCAGGGAGGCCGCCUCGAUGGAUUUGAAACGCAGCUGCUGCUCCAGGGUGGCGAUUCUGGGAAAGCGCCCAAGAAGGGAAUGGGAUGGAUCGUGGGUGUGCGGGGUGUGCGGGGGUUGGGGAGAGAUGGGGGAGGAUGGAGGCAGGGAAGUCAAGCACGGGUUGUGUAAAUAUAGUGGGUGGUGGGUGGAAAGGGGUUCGUUAUUGGGCGGAGAUAUUGUAAGGUUCAGAGACACACACACACACACACUCUCUCUCUCUCUCUCUCCAGCCUCGAAACGAAGGGACUGAGGGGUCGCGCCGGCUGGACUCUCACCCCCCGUGUUCCCCUUCCUACUCGCAAAUUGCUCCCUUUUGCCGCCAUAACACAUAAACGUACCUACGUCUAUCCCUCGUCAAGGGAGCAGUUGCACCUGUGAGGCCACUGCUCUUCAUGUGUCCCUUCAUUUCCGUCACAUACUGGCAGCGGCUCAGAUCAGUAAAACACGUGCACACACGUGUGCGCACGUGCACCCGCACACAUACAUACACGUACACACGGUCUUAUGUCCGCUCUUCUUCCCCUUCUUCUCCUCCUCCGCCCCCAACCCAACCUGUCUCUGAGCUCCGCCAGCUUCCUGUCCCGCUCCUCACACAGCCCCGUGGCAUCCGCCAGCUCCUUCAGCGUAUCCCGGUACUUGCGCUCAACCACCUCCAUGUGCCGUACCCAGGCCUUGUAACCCACCAGGUCCGCCUCCAGAGCCACACGCUGGUCCCUGAAGAGGGUGCCGUGGGGAGAAGGGGGCGAGAAGGGGGGAAAUUACUUGCUGUGCAAAAGCCAAAGAGCAACUGGCGCGACCUCCAAAGGCAGGAAAGAGGAGACAAGGUGAUGGGGCACAUGGGUUCCGGGAAGUGACGACUGCGGGGGAUGGCCGGAGAGGAGAGGAGAGGAGAGGAGAGGAGAGGAGAGGAGAGGAGAGGAGAGGAGAGGAGAGGAGAGGAGAGGAGAGGAGAGGAGAGGAGAGGAGAGGAGAGGAGAGGAGAGGAGAGGAGAGGAGAGGAGAGGAGAGGAGAGGAGAGGAGAGGAGAGGAGAGGAGAGGAGAGGAGAGGAGAGGAGAGGAGAGGAGAGGAGAGGAGAGGAGAGGAGAGGAGAGGAGAGGCGAGGAGAGGAGAGGANNNNNNNNNNNNNNNNNNNNNNNNNNNNNNNNNNNNNNNNNNNNNNNNNNGUCCAGAGCUAUGUCCUUAGCCUGGGGGGGCCCCGGAGGCGGACAUUUGAGUACGUAUAUAUAUGUAUGUAUGUUGGGGGGAAAGGAACGAGGCGUUACACAGCUAUGCAGUGGCACAGUUACACACCCACCUUCCAGUACUCCCCUUCCAGCAGCUUCUGUGCGUCCUGCGCCUCCCUGAGCUGCUGUGUCACCACCGACAGCUGGGCCUCCACACUCUCCAGCCGGGACUCCGCAGUCUCCGCACGCUGCUUGCAAUUCUGAGAGGAAAGGGGGGGCGGGGGAGGGGGCGGUUUGGGGGUUGUGUAAGACGAACCACGAACGAGUGAAGCUGAUGAUGCCAAGGAAAGACUGAUGAGGCUUGGCGGGUACAGGAGCGGGGGAACACCACAAGAUGCGGAUGAUAGAGCAGCUAAAAAUGGACCGAGGCCAGGGGGCGGGCGGAGGGACGGGCAUGCAGGAGUAGGAAUACUAGGCUAGCUGCUUAUAGGCUUCCUGAUAGCCAUUUUACUACUGGUUUCGUGCACAUUCGUGGCCAGCAAAGAGCCGCAAAAGUGCAGCCGGCCUAAUCCAAUUCCUCAAAACACACCCACACACCCACACUCAUGCCGACACACUUUCCGUACUUCUCAACAACCAUGGCUUUAAAGCAAAAGCCGUUACCUCACCUUACGGCCCCCCAGCACCCCCUUAUUUCCCUCCUCUCCAAAAACGUGCACACGUACAUACAUACAUACAUACAUACAUACAUACAUACACAGACAAAUAUACGCUCACACAUACUCACCGUCAUAGUUGUCGACAUCUCCUUGAACUUUAUCUCGUAGCCCCUCACCGCCUGUCGCAGUGCGUCCGCUGUGGGUCGGAGGGUGGUUAGCUCCAGGUUGGCGGCAUCCAACUGCCGACUAACGGUUUCCAACUUCUGGCGAACCUGGGAAAAGGUGGCGGUCUGGAAAGGAGGGCGAAAACAAUAACACUCGUGAGUAUCGGCAGAGAAUACGGCGGGGUGCGGGGAUGUACGGCGAGGUAGGGAGAGGUAGGGCGAGAUGUACGAGGACGGAAAUGAGAGAAGGACGUUUGGGGUGUAAGAGAUGACAGCAGCAGCAGCAGCAGCAGCAGCAGCAGCAACAAACGAUACCAAACACGAAGGCAUCCGUAGAUAUAACACAACAUACACAAAAAGCAAAACACACGCGCACAUCCACGCACCUGCUCCUUGCGCUUCAGCAGCCCCUCCGACCACUCAAUCAAGCGCUCAGCUGAAUCCGCCAGCCGGUCGAAAGUGCGGUCCAGCGCCACGAGCUGAUGAGAGCACUCCACACCGUCAGCGCCUCUGCCGACGCCCACCAUCUGCGCCAGCCGGCCCGCUGCCACCGUCAUGCCGUCGUCGCCGAGGUCGAUGUCGCCAUCAUUGCCUUCCAUGCCGGCGUCGCCGCCACCGUCGCCGGCGGCGUCGCCUUCCGCACCUUCCGGCUGCUGCAGAGCCUCUCCGUCAGCGGCGGCAGCGGGAGAGUUGGCAAUAGCGGAUGGCUGGGAGGUGAGCGACAUCGCCGACGGCUCGGGUGAUGCCGCGGCGGCGGCGGUCGACGUCUCAGCAGAUACCGUACCGCUGCGCAACGGUUCUGGCAGUGCCGGCGCCGCGCUGGGUUCCGCCGACGGGCUCUCGCCGCCGCCGUCACCGGGUGCUGGUUCCGCCACUCCCUCCACUGCUAGCGCCGGCGGCAUCGACGACGCGGACUGCAGAUUCGAGCAGUCUGACCGUACAGAAACGAUACUCCGCUCCGGCGACGCAGGCAUCGACGCCGACGUUGUCGCCGUCAGCUGCCCCGACUCGCUGAUCUCCGCGCCGGCCUGGCGCGCAGCGGCAGCUGCAGCACGGCGCGCCUCACGCGCCGCCCGCCGCUUGCGGCGGUCCUGCUCCAACCUGAGUGUACGGCAGGUUUCCCAAUCUCGCGCCAUCAGAUUCUCCAUUUGCCCCAGCAGCGCCGACAUGGCCUUAUUCAGUACCGCUAGCCACUUGUCGCGGGCUUCGACGGCGGCGCGAAGCUCCGCUACCUCCGCCAGCGAGGCGGACACAGCCGACUCAGCGGAAGCGGCGGCGGCCCCGAAGGGGCCGCCGCUGCCGCCCGCGCCCUCUCCACCGCCGCCAGAGAGCAGCUGCUGUUCCUUGCUCAGCACUGCCGCCAGCCUGGCCUGUGUGACCUGGUCCACGAGCGCCACUACCUGGGAGUUCAGGUGGGCUACUCGGCGGUGGCAGGAGCGGGCGAAGCGGCGCAGCGCCAGGACCUGGCCCUCCGGUAGCAGCGCCAGCAAAUCCGGCGGGAGCUGAGGGCCGAGCAACGGAAGGGUAUCAUCAGCAGGCGGAAGGGUGACGGACGGGUGGGGAUGGGGGCCCCCGGAGGGCGUAUACACGCAUAUUGGACAUAAAAGGGGAGGUCUAAACAGACAGACAGACAGACAGACAGACAGUGGCAGGAGGCAACCUGGCAACCCCACCACCCCGUACCCCGUACACCCGCACCUCCAGUUCGUGGCUGUUAGCCUCUGCCCGCCGCUCCUCAAGCUCCUGCAAUAAGGCCUUCGUGUCCGCCGCCGCCGCUCGCAGCACAUCAGCUUCCGCCCUGUCCGCCUCCGCCUGCUCCCGGUCCCGAGCCGCUUCCUCCCGGCACCUGGCCGCCUCCUCCUCCGCCUCCUUCAGGCGGGUCAUCAACGGCCAGUAGCUGCGAACCAACUCCGAGUUCUUGAGGGUGAGUCUGCACAUGAAGGUGGGGGGGGGAGGGAAGGCGCGAGGAGGGGGGGUUGCGGUGUACGGGUGGAGGAGCUCAAACAGGUUCAGGAACGGAGGCUGCAUGUGAACGGAGGAAUGUGAGGCACGGGGAUUGGUAUGUAUGGGAUGCCGGGUGUGCUUGUGUGUGUAUUUGUGUUUGCGAGGUGUGUGCACACCGCAUGUGCGGCCAUGUAGCGCACGUCUGCCCCCUGCCCUCAUCCCCCCAUUCCCACUCCCCCAAACCCCAAGAAAAUACCACCCGCAAAAUCCUCCUCUUCCUCCUCCUCCUCACUUUCGGUUCCUCUCCUCCAGGUCCUCCAUCGCCAUUCGCCCCGCCUCGAACUUGGCCCUGAACUUGUCAGCGAUGCGGUCGCUGGCGGCCGCCGCGUCGUCAGCCCUGGCCACCGCCGCCUUCAUGUCCGCCACCUCCGCACGCAGGGACUCAUUCACGGCGCUGCGCCGCCCAGAUCCAGAUCCAAAUCCAGAUCCAAGGGUUUUGCGGGGUUUGCGGGGGCCCAGGGGAAAAGGGAUAUGCAACAAGUCGCAUGAAAGAAGUCAGGGAAAGAGGCAGGUGGGCGGGGAGAUCAACGGUGAAGGGAGGACGUACCGUUGCUCGUCCAGCUCGUGCAUCUUGACCACGAAGUUAGCGUGCAUCAGGUUGAAGGCCCUCGUCUUGUCCGACAACAGCCGACCCAGCUCGUCCGGAUCCAGUAGAGACAGAUCAGCCAUCAUGCCCUCCGUCGUACUGUAUGGGGCGACGUUGCCGCUGUUGCCGGCGGAGGGGAGAGUGGCGGUGGCGGCUGCGGUAGCGCCGCCGCCGCCGCCGCCGCCACCGCCACCGCUCGGCGGUGUUCCCGGGGACGCGACGCCGUCGGCGGUGGGACCACGUGUUGUAGCCCCGCCGCUGACGCUGCCGGGCCCCAACGCGCGAGAGGACGUUCCCGCCAGGCCGGCAGUAGUGGCUGCGGUGGCGCUGUUACCGCCGACGGUAAGAGUGCCGCUGGCGCCGGCGGUCGUGGGGGAGGCGGCGGCGCUGCCUGCGCCGCCAGCAGUGGCGCCGGCGGCGCCGGGGUCGCUGGGCUCCGGAGUGUUGCCGGAUAGGAGUCCCAGUACGGCAGCACGGCGACGGUUGAGAUUACGAACCGUCUCCUGCAGCUCCCCGCACAUGCGUUCCAGCUCUUUGAUCUGUUAGGGCGGCAGUUACAGUGGACACGAAUGACUGCCUGACGUGAUGUUGUUUUCUUCCUGUCUUGUGGGGCCCCCCCAAAAGCCACCACAUCGAACAAGGAACACCAGCCUGCAGUACGGCACCCCUAACCCGUCCCAAAAAUCAACUGCGACGCGCUCCCAAUUCCCCCCAAACCAAUAAAACGUUGCGCAUCGGGGCAUCGAUCUGCGUCUUUCCUUCAGCCAUUAAACCCUAAAACUCUAAAACCCUAAAACAGAAACCCGUCUACAUCCACCCCCUAAGCCAACCACAAUGGAUCCCCAGCUCUGAAGGAAAGGACCCCAACCCGCAGCCCUUAUCCCUGCCCGCAGCCCCCAAGGACCCCCCAUUUCCCAACUCACUAAAUCCUAAACCCAACCUCACCUGGAAGAACUGCGCGGACAGUGUGGCAUUCUGUUCCGACACGAUGGCCUUGAGGUCGUGCAGGUGCGCCUCCGCCGCCACCGCCCUCGCCUCCGCCGCCUGGGUAGCGGCCUUGGCGGCAUCCAGCUGCCGCUCCAGGGUGGCUACCUGUACGGCGUGUCGGGCCAUGUGCGUCACCAGCUGCUCGUUGGCGUUGUGGAGGGUGUAGACCUCGCCUGGGGGUUGGGGGGAAGGGCGGGGGAGGAGGUCCAACGGGGUUUGGGAUGUUCGGUUGGAAGGUGGGUUGGCGGUUAAGGAUCAAGGGUGAAGAGAAAGGUUUUGACGCGAUAGCAGGGCAAGAGGCCAGAAUUCCCCAUCCCAAAGCAUUAAGUAGAGGAGCGCGAAGGGAAAGGAGGUCCAUCUUCCCCCUCUCCCUUACCCCCGUUCCCUCCUCCCCCCAGCCACUCACCCUCCAGCUUCGUGGUCGCCUGCUGCAGGUGUCUGCUGGCCAGCAUGUUGUCCACGUUCUGCUUCAUGAAGUCCUCCAACCGCGAUUGCAGCUCCUGCUUCUCCCGCUUGAGCGCCUCCAGCUCCACAGCCCCGCGGUCCAGAGCUUGAAGGGCCGCGUUCUUGUCCGCCAACAUGGAGCUCAUCUCGCUGUCAAACACGAUCUAAGGGGGGUGGUUGGGAGUUGGGAGUUGGAGGAGGGCGGUAGGUUGGGGGAGGACUGGGCACUUAGUGGGGGCUCGGCUUUGCGGUAAUACAAACUAAACGAAAGAAAUAGCGGUUGUGACGUUCAAAACAUUAGAACCGCUAAACAAUACAGAAUUGAAUAGGCUGUGCGGUGCUUAAUUUAUACUAUUUUAACGUGAAUAAAAAACAUUAUAUUGACGCAAAACAAUUUUAAAAGAACCGUCGCACACAGGCUCCUGGUUGUAUUGUAUUUUUCCUUGUAUUUUCUCUGAGGCGGUGAGAGGGGCGAACCCCACGACGAGCGCUUUUCCUCCUGGUUAAGCGAGAGCCUUGCGUAGCGAGGCAGACGUGAUUUCUACUCUUUUACACACACACACACACACACACACACACACACACACACACACACCUCUUCCCGGCCCCGGACUUCAGCAGGAAGCACCCCCACCCACCAUGAGCGCCUCGUCCCACAGCGCCGCGAACGACCUGAACACGUUCUCCAGCAGCUCCUGCCGCAGGCUGGUGCCCGCCGCCAGCCCCACCGCCGCGCCGCUGUUGCGGUCCGAUACGGCAAUGUCCAGCAGCGCCUCCACGUCUGUGAAGAACCCCACACUGUACGAGUACAACAGCCGGUAGAGAGAGAUGAUGUCGCGUUCCUUGGAAGGCAAAGGGGGUUCGGUUGGGUGGUUGGGUGGUUAGGUGGUUGGGUCGUUGGAUUUGGAUGGUAAAGCAGUUAGAUGGGUUUGUAUGUUUGUUGGGCCCAAGAUAAAGAUUGGUGAGAGGUUUGUGGUGGAGUGAGUGAGUGAGUGAGUGAGUGAGUGCGAGGAGUGUGCGUGGAGUGUGCGUGGAGUGAUUUCCUGCAUGGUGAAGCUGAAGAGCUGGAACCCUCUCCGACCAAGCCAUCCGUUUGUACAAAACAACGAAGUGAUGACACAACGACAACUGCCAACGACGACAACAACAACAACGAACACAACUAACCAACACACAUACGAGCCACAUUUCAAUGCAUACGUUAAAGCCAUAACCUUUGAUGGCAAGACCAUGAGACAAAAGUACGUAUAAAUCAUGUGCCGUAAACUUUGUACGUAUAAAUUAUGUGUGUAAAUCGUGUGUCGUAAGGCUCCGUCUUCUCCGCGCCUGUAAACAAUUGCAUAUUUUCACUUCUGCAGUUCAUUUCUGAUUUCCCCACAUGCAUAUGUUCUCCCCCGGCCCCCCACACACACACCUGCAUUCGGUAGCGGUUCUUGAGUGCCUCCGGCCCUAGCGGCCCCCUCAGCAGCCGCUGUUGUAUCUCCGGAUGGCCCCAGGUGCCGUCCGCGCGGAGAUCCCACUCGCCCAUACCCGCAGCGAUGCUCUUUUGAAGCGCCGCCGAGAGGUCCGCCAGCGUGCCGGCGGCGGCGUUGCGGCCGCGGGGCCGGCUAAGCAAGCUGGCGUUAAGGCUGCUGCUGGCGAUGGUGUUGGUGGUACCGGGCCGGGAGGUGACGGCAGAGGCGGGGGCCUGGCCGGAGAGGGAGGUGGCGGCGGUGCCGCCGCCGCCGAGGGAUCGCGAAGGCGCACGCAACUGUUGGCCUGGCGGCGGCGGCGGCGGCGCCACUGCCGCGGUAGCUGCUGACGGGGGAGGAGGAGGGAGAAGGAGGCUGGUUGGGGCGGUGAGCAGCGGCCCAGCGGCCGCGCCAGAGCUGGCGGCAGGGGGCCGGCGGGCGCCGGGGCUGCCGCCGCCGCCCCCACCGCCGCCACCGCCAGAGGCGGCAGUGGGGGCCUGUUGUUGGCGCUGCCCAGGGCUUAGCAAUUCCUGUAGGGACUCGGUUUGGCUAGGCGGUGUACGGUUAGUACGGAAGAGGCGCUGCAGGAGCUGCGCGGCAGUGGCCGAGGGCUGCUGCGACGAAGGUUGUUGCUGCUGCGGCAGCUGUCGCGGCGGUGAGCCCGCCUCAGAGGUCGCGUCGGCGGCGGCAGCUGCGUGACCCGGCGCCGCCGCCGCCAGCAGCAGCUCCGCGUCCGCAGCCGAUGCUCCCUCAGGCUGCCCUGGCACGGGCCGGCCGGCGGGGUUGGCAAGCUGGAGGGGCGGGUUGAUGACGGCGGGUGGUACGAGCCCGGGGCCGCGGGCUGGGAACGUGGCGGCGAGGAGGUGGUCCAGGGUUGGCGGAGGCGGUGGCAACGGAGGGGACGAGGGUGCGGUGUCGGGGCGGCCGACGGCGCCGGGUAGCGGUCCCGGAGCCAGGUAGUGCUUGUUUGGUGGGGCGGAGUUAGGCAGCCUGGGUGCGCAUGUUUCAGGAGGAGGGAAAGUGCCCUGCUUACGUCAAAACGGACGAAUGAGUACGUAUUAUGGACACAUUCAUACAUACAUACAUAGGCCCGUUGAGCGUAGUAAAGCGUAGUGGGAGUCUAAUAUAGAGAUAGUCGUAACGAGCUAAGAGACAAGACAAGCUCAGAAGCACACGAACUCACAGUUCCAGGUCACACACGAGCCCCAUCACAACAACCUCACCGCCAUGGAAGUCCCCCCACCCCUCCACCCCGGGUAGUGCCGUCCUCGCAAGUUGCUCUAUCCUGCCCUAGCCUACCCCCUGCCCUGCCCUAGCCUACCCCCUGCCCUUCCCUAGCCUACCCCCUGCCCUGCCCUCCCCUACCCCCUGCCCUGCCCUCCCCUACCCCCUGCCCUGCCCUAGCCUACCCCCUGCCCUGCCCUCCCCUACCCCCUGCCCUGCCCUCCCCUACCCCCUGCCCUGCCCUCCCCUACCCCCUCCCCCACCGGAAGGCCUGCGGCGCGUUGCCCACUGCCGCCAGCGACAGCCCCGUCGUGUUGGGCCCCAGGAUAAGCCCUGCACCCAGGGCGCCGUCGAAGGGUGAAGCCUCUCGGAGCCUGUGCUGGUGCUGCUGAGGUUGCUGGUUGUGAGACAGACCCUGGUGGGACUGGUGCGAGUGGUGGGAGUGGGAGGAGCCCAGGCCGGACCGCUCGGCAGCCAGGCCGUUGCGGCGGGCAGCCCAGGCCGCCGCGGCGCCGGGAGGUGCCGCGACGGGGGCUCCGCUGCCGCCGGCGCCGUUGCCCUGCAGCAAGGCAGGGAGGCAGGUUUGCGAGGUGAGAUGGGGCGAGUGCGGGAAGAAUGACCCUAAGGCGCUCAAAGGGCAAAAACAAAAGUGCACAACUGACGAGGACAGAAGGCCGCCCCCUUAUUGGGGAAGGCGAGCUGACUCGGUGAGCUACGGUGAAUGGCGGGGUGGGGGGAGGGCCUCAGGCGGUGACUGUUUGUUGCCUCCCGCGUUCCGAAAAAGGGAGAUGCCUCUCUUGACACAGCACACCGCGUUACACCGGCACGUCGGCUCGGCCCUUCCCGAUAGGCUCGGGAGCCCGUGAGGGGGAGAGGGAGUAGGAGGGAGGGGUGCUCCAAGCGGCAGCCUCAAGGAGGCAGCUUUGCCACAUCGCGGGCCGCCGCUGGGGGCUACAACUGCCGGUUGCCGUUAUCAUGACGAAGGCGUGGGCCGCUGCUCCUAGCCGGAGGUCCUAGUGGCUGACGGCCUGUGCUGCUGUCGCUGCUGCUGCCACCGCUGCUGCUGCUGCCGCCACUGCUGCUGCUGCUGUCACCGCUGCUGCUGCUGCUGCCGCCACUGCUGCUGCUGCUGCCACCGCUGCUGCUGCUGCUACCGCCACUGCUGCUGCUGCUGCCACCGCUGCUGCUGCUGCUACCGCCACUGCUGCUGCUGCUGCCACCGCUGCUGCUGCUGCUACCGCCACUGCUGCUGCUGCUGCCACCGCUGCUGCUGCUGCUGCCACCGCUGCUGCUGCUGCUGCUGCUGCUGCUGCCACUGCUGCUGCAACUGCUGCUGCAACUGCUGUCGCCGCUGUCGCCACUACUGCUGCCCCUGCUGCUGCCGCCGCUGUCGCCACUACUGCUGCCCCUGCUGCUGUCGCCGCUGUCGCCGCUAUUGCUGCCCCUGCUGCUGUCGCUGCUGUCGCCACUACUGCUGCCCCUGCUGCUGUCGCCGCUGACGCCGCUAUUGCUGCCCCUGCUGCUGCCGCUGCUGCCGCUGCUGCUCUUGCCGCGGCAUCCCAUGUUUUCCCCCCUCUCUUCCUCCUACUCCCCAGGGCCCCCUCUCACCCUCUCCCUCCCUUGUCCCCGCCCCCACCCCCCGGGAGAUACCCACUUGCUGCCAGGUGCCCUCUGGAAGGGACAUGGAUGCGCCCGGAGCCACAACCCCAACGUUGCUGCCGUGAACGCCACCGCCACCACCUCCCCCUAGCGGGCGGCCUCCCGAGCCCAGCCUCUGUGGCGAUGUCACCAGCCCCGGCGACCCCGGCCCGCCGUCCCAGCUGCUGUGAUGCGUCUGACCGCCACCACCGCCACCCUCCGGAGAGCCACCAGGGGGUCCCUGGCCCCAGGGGAAACAACAUACCGAGGGCCUUUUAACUUGAGGGGGGGAGUUUUUUAGGGUUUGCGUUACAACCAACACGGCCACGGGACCCGUGGCACGGGUAUAGGAGAAACACACAUAUCCGAUAUCUCCCCCCCUUCACCGUCGUCCGGGAGGUGUUUUGCUGCUUGCCACUUGUCCCCCAGCAACGGGCUCCAACAGCCCAGCUGCACGAAGGCCCCCAGUCACCUGCGAUCCGGGCCGCCCGCCCGAGCCCGGGGGCGGCACCCCUGGCUGGGGUAGCAGCAGCCCGCUCCCCUCCAGCCCCAGUGGCGGCGCUCCCUGGAAGCCCCGGAUGCGGGUGAACUUGCUGCGGAGGGGGGUUUGCUGCGCGGUGGGGCUGCCGGGUGAAGGCGGCGCAUCGUUCCCUGCCGGGUAGAGGUGAUGGGGCGGCUGGAGCUGCUGCGGCUGAGGAGGCUGGCCGGCGGGCGGCCGGCCGCGGGUGGCACCCUGGCCCGGGGAAGACCCUGCUGAAGUGGGGGGAGAGGCGCGCGGUGGGUCAGGUGGACCAUGUCUGUGCGCGGUGUAACAUUUGAAAUUUGGAAAAGCUAGGCGCGGGUGAGAAGGUUCGGCGCAUGGCUUUCUUGUUCGGGGUAGUGCUGACGCGCGGGUAUCGUACGGACUGCUAGGAUAUACACAGCGCGCAGUCCACCAUGGACGGCAAGAUGAUAAGACCCACAGCAUGGCAAUGCUCAUUAAGUCUAAAGGCUCACAAGGGGCCAACAUCGGAGGCUAUGAAUGUCAACUUCAUGCACAUGUGACCUACCAGCUGCCUGCACAAGCGGUGCUCGUGAGGAAAGCAUCAAGGGUAAAGGCUUCACUUUUUGUGUUCGUUGCUCCUCGCGAUCCUCCCUUGAACCCACACCCGUAAGGGGUGGCAACGCGCUGGAUGACAUUUGGCCGUCGAAGCUACGUAUCUAGCCUUAGGUUUUCCCACCUAGUGUUAGUAAACAUGCACAAGAGUACAUAAUAUGGAAAACACGACCUGGUUCAAGAGGCAACAGGUUGAGAAACGGACAAAAACAUUUAUUAUAAGAUUCCAUUUGCAAACCUGCACGCAAAACUUAGAGCCUGUGCAGACAGUCUAUGCAAAUCGACCAUCUGCAAAACAUUUCGAAAGAAACACUUUCUUCCGUACGACAACUAUUUGCUUAGGGAGCCCUAAGAGCCAGUAAAAUAAUCAAUUUAAGGUAAAAGAUAGGGUACUUAGUAGCAGCUAACCUAGGCGCUCACUGCCCUUUGGCAUAACUUGUCUUUAGGUUGAUCGGCGGCUAGUGACCAUGCUCGCAGCACCAACUUCCAAGCCCAAGGGUUCCAACGCCUGGCAGAAAUGGCUUAAGGAAGAGUGGAAAAAUGAGGCGAAGUUUGCCGCGAAUAUCCGCGUUGCUCGUGGUUUGGCUGUCUUUUUCGGAGCUAUUUUUGCGUUCCGGAACUUUGGGGAGGCGCUUUUCGGAGUGUAAUGAGAAGGCAAGUGCUUAACGCCGAUGGCAUAAGUGGAUGAGCCUGGAGUGGGUGGCGGAGGACAUCACGGCAGCGCCCUGCUGUAUGUCCCGGCGCGGUGCAAACGGACACGUGGAAUGGCGCUUUCCGCAUCGGACUAAUCCGCCAAGUCAGUUUCCACGGAGAGGGUCUAGCACAACUGUUGUAAAGGCUUGGGAACGCUGCUCCAGCGUUGGACGCUGGCGCAUGGGGGUUUCGACGUCCAUGUCAUCACUGAAGUGAGGAUUUAUGCAGCGAGAUGGCUUUACGCGCGCAGCUUGGCUCGUGUUGAGUACACGCAGAACGCAGAGUACGCUGCCCGGGACUGCUUGCCUCUUGAAGUUUCUUGGCUCGCCCUGUUCGGAAUUCCGGGUCGACCUGCAGUUGUCCCAGCGUCGAUAUUUGAGACCGGUAUCAGCGCGGUGCUGCAAUGGCAACCUUGUAUUUACCGCAGUCUAUCUGAAUCCCCCUUCUCGGUAGUGGGGGCUCACCUCCUGCAGCCUCUUGAGCAUGACAGAUGCUUGGUUGUCUUCCUUCGGAUCGUGCACGGUUGCUGAGAACCAGCAGUACUGGGGCGCUCAGGAGUGGGCGGCGUGUGUUGGAAAGUUAACAGACCGGUAUGGUGCUGCAGCCUUGCAGACAGUGGGCGUUGAGGAUAUCGGCAUCCUGUGCUUUUGAAUGUGGGAUGAUCAGCAGUCUGCAGGGUUGCUAUUGCUGCAGCAGGAGAUGAUGCUCCUGGAGCGUAAAUGCAAUGUAUACAUACGGCUUGGUUUAGACCUGCUGCAUUGAACUCGGUUACGGAUUACGGUUGUAAGAAGGGCUGUGCUGUGUAUUAUUGCAGCGGAUGACCGUACGGUAUGUGUGCUCGGUUUGCAAGGCUGUGCAACUUCUUCAACUUCCUGAAGCCACCACCAGCAAGCGCCUCCCGCUUUCUGAUCAGCCAGCGGUCCACACUUGACAAAGCUUCAGUAGCCGCUUGCUUGGCUUUCGGCUAUAAGUCUUGCUGGCAAGACUUCGAACUGCUCGUUCGGUUGAUCACAGCCAUGUAGCUGCGCCAUCGUCUUGCAGCUGUCGUGUUUGGCUGGUCAAGGAACAUCGUCAUCGGAGAAUGAGCUUGCGCUGUAAGUGGACGCGUUGAAGGUGCGCCCAAGGAACAGACCUGCGCAGGGCAACGGCAAGGUCCACUCGCGGAAAGUUGCGUGCCGUGUUUGGUGCGGCCCUCACCCAAUGCAACAGUGUAUGGGGCGGAUGUGUGCAGCCGGCGGGCGCACAUCUUGAGCAAGGAAUAGGUAACACACGGCGCGUGCUAAAGUAGGUUCAUUUCUUUGUUCAGCCUAGCCCCCUGUCCAAGAUUGCCACUUCCAAAUAGGCAAAGGAAAUCGUGUGGCCAUAUGUUAAUUUUUCUGGCCAGACUUAUGACAGCAGCAACGCGCCUAUGAAGGCCCGUGGACAGCAGCAACGCGCGGCCUCUGGAGAAUUACAGCUAUGAACCGUAAGGAACAGAACCGUAAGACACAGCGAUGUUAGAAUCAAUUAUUACAAGGGGAACAGGGAACCAACCCACGUCACUAGCCGUACAUGCUAAGGGUUGACAAAAACCAACCCACCCAGGGCACGUACUCCCAUCAUGGAGAUCAUCAUAUCCUUGCUUCUCACCAGCAAUGAAACAAGACUGACCGUCUUUAGAUUUGAUUUUUUAUGCGGUGUACAGAGGUGCAUAUCAAAACCUGGACCAGUUCCACAGAGCACAAACAAUUUUAGGCGAGCAUCCCUACCUUAGUCAAUCAUACGCGACUCGUCCCAGAGGUAGACUAUAAUAUAGUCCACAUAAACAAUAUAGAGACACCUUAACAAAAGCUAUCAUAACAUUUGAUGAACUAUACAGUUAUAUGGUUGCAACUUGCUGUAUACGGAAAACACGCUAGAGAAGCACGGAAAUUCGCAUCCUGGGAAAAGUAACUAGAAAUAUAGAGUUUGGCUUUUAUAGAAUGCUUGACUACGUUAGGCCUCGCGCUUUAGAGCUUCCUGGCUCGUCUGGGUCUUAUGAUAUCCUUGGCCGGAUGUUGAAAGCAAGGAGUCGUAAGUUACAGCGCAAGGAUGGACUUUGCAAGCUGAAUAUGAAAUCAGUAUGGCAAUCUUCUGCUUGGAGCGUUUGGUAAUUCCAUUUGUAUUUCCCUUUCCUUUGCCCAGGCCGUCUUGUUAAUUGCUUUGAAGCUUCCGCACAUUUUAGAAAGGAGCACGUUGGCUACCUUCGUCACAAAGAAACACUAAAAUGCUGAGCUGCGUAAGUGAAGUGGCUCCGUCGUGCAAAACUUGCCAUCCGCCAAAACUGUCCAUUUCUUGCCCGCUAGCUUAACCCUAAGGAGUACACCUUGCAGGUGAUCUGUAAAAUUAUUCUCAGCAAUAUUAACAGUUUUAGCAAUAUUAACGUAGUCUUGUACAUCGUGCUGUGCGGGCCCAGCAACGCCCGUCAUUAAUGCCACGCAAUUGACGAACGGGUGCGCGAGAGCUACAAUCCUAGACGCAUUGAAUGAAAAUCUACUAUUUUUCCUAUAUUAGCCCUACGCGUCUAGUACAGUAGGUGCAGUCGGAGGCUCUCAAUUGGCAUGGCACAGCAUAUGCAUCACGUGCAUGUAAAUCACUCGUAUCUUCAAAACGUUCUUCUUAAAGAAAGAUUUGACAAUUUAAUAUUCUCAUUAGCAUACUACUGAGCUGAAGAUGCUUAAAAAGGGCUGCUUCUAGCUCGACGCCGGGCGGCGGCGGUUGAGGACACGGGCAGUUCAUAGGUUAUGUAUGAUCUCAUCUUGCCAUUACUGGCGAUAUAAGGGGAUCGAUUGAUUGUUUGCCAAGCCUCGCCAUGUGUUGGACUUUUUUUUCCCAGACUCGGUGUUUUUUCAACACCUCCACUUCAUGGAAAGAAAAAUCCUCCGUAAUGAUGACAGGACUUCAAUGCUCGCUCCAUCACGCUCCAGGCAGCCCUCCAUCCCAUCAGAUCGCAUCGGAAAACACACCCAAACGCACACAGCCACGUCAGGUAACACAGCUGCAUCAAUCACCCUUCUUACCGCUGGUGGCCGUUCCCCACUCGUCCAGUAGGUGACGAGUGUACGGGGUCCCAAGAGCAACCCUUCGCCCUACAUCAUCCCUUGCAUUGGCAGAUUCUCAUACACGUAAAUUUUGCCACUAAAGCCAACAACUACAAACAACGCGCCGAGCAGCGGCAGCUGCGCCACAGAGCUGUUCAACAGUGAUGCCGGCCCGCCGCCUGUUGCCGCUGCCGGCCCCCGCCCAAGUCGUUCAAGCCCUCGACCGAGCCUGCAAUGGAGGAGCCGGGAGGGGCCCUGAAGCACUCCGUCGUGCACAUACAUACACACGGGGCUCGCGCCGGUAUCAAGUUCACCUCGUGUACCACCAUCGGCAGUUCCCUCAUCGCGGCCCCGAAGGCCAUUAACACACAAGCGGACGAGCACACACACAUGCAAGAAAAUACACACACAUAUAUAUAUAUGUAUGUGUGUGUUAAUGGCCUAUAUAUAUGUAUAUAUGAAGCGGGACUUGCUCCUGCCGCAAGACCUAAAAACCUGACCUUAAGCCCCACGAAGGUUUCUCUUUCUACUCACUGCACCCCUCCUCGACCAGGAAGCCCAACCCCACUGCCCAGCCGCGGAAGAACCCCACCUGCAUCCAAGACCUCCACCGUCCAUCCCUCCCUCCUCACAACUUCCGCCCUGGGUGGCCCCCCACCUAACCCCGCGCCUACCUGCACACGUUGGGUGCCAAGAGAGCCACCGUCGUGGUCUGCUCCGGCGUCUGGAAGGCCUCAUAGACGCCCUCCUUGACCUUGCCAGCUCCUCGCACUGCGGCUGCAACAUCCUUGCCGCCGGGCCCUGGCCCAGCUCCGAACCCAGCUCGGCCGCGGCCAGCAACAAGCCCGGCUGAGCCCAAGCUUGUGGUGGCACCGGUCGCCGUACCGCCCGUAGCUGUCGCAGUGGGCCCGCUGAGGGCGCCCACCAUGGUCGGUCCCGGCAGCGGUGGCGGUGGUGGUGGCAGCCCUGUCUCCCAGACGUACACCCAGCCGUCGUCUGAACCGCAGAUGAGGUGCUGACAGCUGGGGGACAGCGAUGCGGCGAUCUGAACGGGCAAUGACACGACCGGCCAGGUUGUUGUUAUCGUUGUUGUUAUCGUUGUUGUUAUCGUUGUUGUUAUCGUUGUUGUUGUUGUUGUAAUGGCGGUGGCGGUGGUGGUGGCAGAAGAGGUGGGAUCGUGUGGAAACAAAGCAAACAACAUCAACUGGGCGGCGGGGGGUAUCAGAGGGGGCUGGGCGCCGGGUGUUAGGAAAGCAGGCAACAACUGGUCACCUCCUGGCCCAAGGUGCUGCUCCUUGCCUGCCGCAAAUUCUUCCUUACCAAUGUCUGUAUCUGUACGUAACGCUGCAAUUGACCCAUGGGUCAGGAGGACCUCACAGCAGCAGCCCAUUGCCGCAGCCCCCACGCAUCUCUCCCAGUCGUCGCGAAAGCUUUUCCAUAGCACCUACCUUGCUUUUUGGUGACCUAUUUUGUUAUUCCCUGGCCUACCUGCGUGUUCGAGUGGCGGUGGCCCUUGAACUUGCGUUCCUGCGAGUCCGUGCGGUGGGCACGGGUGUGAGGUGCAUGGGCGGGGUUGCAUGGAUAUGGAACGGAAUGAGAUUGAAUUACACUGAGAAGUAUAACUCGUCGCGGCAGUGGAGCAAACUAGUGGACAAUUGGAUUCGGGCCCUGGGCCCUGAACAGAGCAUUGCUCAUUUAAUUAGUGGAGCCAAGAGUUUAGGCGGUGCAGGGACUGGCCCCCACCUUACCUUAUCCUUAACCUAUAGGAUAAGGUAAGGUGCCCAUACCUUCACCUACAGACACAUGAAAAGAACGCAUCGUCAGAUGCAACACACAACACGCACAACACAUAUACGCAAACAACACACGCACACAUACAUACAUACAUACAUACAUACAUACAUUUCCCCUCAUCGCGUCUCAGAUCAUAAAAACACAUACAUACAUACACACUAGGCAGGCGGCUGGCAGAGGUUAAGGCCUGACUUCUGCUCCUGGCCGACCCGGGUUCAAAUCCGCCUGCCGGCUCCUCGGGUGUUUGAGGAGUGUUGAAAUGGGAGGUGGCCCCCCAUCACAUGGAGGAUGUAGGACGUAAUAAUAUCAACAUACGAGCCAACCAGGAACCAAGUUGAUGCGCCGUUGAUCCGCUAGAUUUGGUUGGAUGCUGGUGGUGAGUUGCCGAACCCAGCGAAUAUAUUCUGAAGUCGGAUGGGGUGACGGAUUAGGGUGCCCCUCUAGCAGGGGAGAGCAAGGACUGCCCCGGAAAGGGGGCCGCUGGCGAAGUUAACCACCCUGUAACAACAUACAUACAUACUUUCUUCCUCAAAUGCCCACACCCACGGCCGCAUAGACAAGACACGGAGGUAGAUACACGC
RNAcentral lists this long non-coding RNA (36773 nucleotides) under Volvox carteri. Its description in RNAcentral is "long non-coding RNA (VCAR_LNC000092)". The record is from RNAcentral. Lineage: Eukaryota; Viridiplantae; Chlorophyta; Chlorophyceae; Chlamydomonadales; Volvocaceae.